GAUGAACGCUGGCGGCGUGCCUAAUACAUGCAAGUCGAGCGAACGGACGAGAAGCUUGCUUCUCUGAUGUUAGCGGCGGACGGGUGAGUAACACGUGGAUAACCUACCUAUAAGACUGGGAUAACUUCGGGAAACCGGAGCUAAUACCGGAUAAUAUUUUGAACCGCAUGGUUCAAUAGUGAAAGACGGUUUUGCUGUCACUUAUAGAUGGAUCCGCGCUGCAUUAGCUAGUUGGUAAGGUAACGGCUUACCAAGGCAACGAUGCCUAGCCGACCUGAGAGGGUUAUCGGCCACACUGGAACUGAGACACGGUCCAGACUCCUACGGGAGGCAGCAGUAGGGAAUCUUCCGCAAUGGGCGAAAGCCUGACGGAGCAACGCCGCGUGAGUGAUGAAGGUCUUCGGAUCGUAAAACUCUGUUAUUAGGGAAGAACAAAUGUGUAAGUAACUGUGCACAUCUUGACGGUACCUAAUCAGAAAGCCACGGCUAACUACGUG
Molecule: ribosomal RNA, 497 nt
Filed under: uncultured bacterium
Lineage: Bacteria
Description: partial 16S ribosomal RNA
Rfam family: Bacterial small subunit ribosomal RNA
Source: RNAcentral